Molecule: long non-coding RNA, 205 nt
Filed under: Setaria viridis
Lineage: Eukaryota; Viridiplantae; Streptophyta; Magnoliopsida; Poales; Poaceae
Description: long non-coding RNA (SVIR_LNC009804)
Source: RNAcentral
GUGUGUCUGUAACAAAAAUUAAUCUGCCCCCACAAUUUUUUCACUUAUUCGCCAAAAGCUAGAUUUAGGACCACAUGAGCAGCUCUGCUUGUCACUGUGAUGUCCAAUAGGAAGCAGCCAUAAGCAACACACUGCCAGUACCACCAUUCAGAUUUCAGAGAGGCCCAUGAUGACGUCACGCAUCUCUCUUGGAGGGCCCCACCUU